GACGAACGCUGGCGGCGUGCUUAACACAUGCAAGUCGAACGGUGAAGGGGACUGCUUUUGUGGGCUCUGGGUGAGUGGCGAACGGGAGAGUAACACGUGAGUAAGCUGCCGCCUUCUAAUGGAUAACCGCAUGAAAGUGUGGCGAAUACGGGAUGUGCUGGGUAUGUCGCGUGAUUGGUCUGGGAAAGAUUGAGACUUUGGGAGGUUGGGGUGGGGGGUGGGCUCGCGGCCGAUCAGCUUGUUGGUGGGGUGAUGGCCUGCCAAGGCGGUGACGCGUAGCUGGCCUGAGAGGGUGUACGAUGACACUGGGACUGAGACACGGCCCAGACUCCUACGAGAGGCAGCGGUGGGGAGUAUUGCGCAAUGGGCGCAAGCCUGAUGCAGCGACGCCGCGUGAGAGAUGGUGGCCUUCGGGUUGUACACCUCUUUCGGCGGUGAAGCAGGCCUGCUCCUUGUGGGUGGGUUGACGGUAGCUGGAUAAGAAGCGCCGGCUAACUACGUG
Molecule: ribosomal RNA, 502 nt
Filed under: uncultured bacterium
Lineage: Bacteria
Description: partial 16S ribosomal RNA
Rfam family: Bacterial small subunit ribosomal RNA
Source: RNAcentral